Salmo salar (Atlantic salmon) is the source of this 204-nucleotide long non-coding RNA. RefSeq lists it as uncharacterized. NCBI's taxonomy places the organism in Eukaryota, Metazoa, Chordata, Actinopteri, Salmoniformes, Salmonidae. The record is from RefSeq and is a predicted model, not a curated record.
CAUGGCAGGCUGACUACCUGUUAUGCGAGGGCAGCAAGAAGCCAAGGCAUUAGUUUGGUCCACACCCCCAGUCCCCCCACCGAGGUGAACUGGCCCAGUGACGUCUCCAACAGGAACAGAGGUAAGGGAACCUCCAGACGUUCCCCAGGCCGAUGGCGUAGCCCACGCAUGACAACAGGAAGUCAAACUUGCCCUUCCAGGAGC